RNAcentral lists this transfer RNA (67 nucleotides) under Huananpotamon lichuanense. Its description in RNAcentral is "tRNA-Ser". The record is from RNAcentral. Lineage: Eukaryota; Metazoa; Arthropoda; Malacostraca; Decapoda; Potamidae.
GAUUAUUUAGUUUAAAAUAAAAACAAAUGUUUUGAAAACAUUAAAAAAGAAAAGUUUUUAAUAAUUA